CGCGUAGGCGGGAAUGCAAGUCAGAUGUGAAAUCCAAGGGCUCAACCCUUGAACUGCAUUUGAAACUGUAUUUCUUGAGUGUCGGAGAGGUUGACGGAAUUCCUAGUGUAGCGGUGAAAUGCGUAGAUAUUAGGAGGAACACCAGUGGCGAAAGCGGCUUUCUGGAUGACAACUGACGCUGAGGCGCGAAAGCCAGGGAGCAAACG
Molecule: ribosomal RNA, 206 nt
Filed under: uncultured bacterium
Lineage: Bacteria
Description: partial 16S ribosomal RNA
Rfam family: Bacterial small subunit ribosomal RNA
Source: RNAcentral